RNAcentral lists this ribosomal RNA (207 nucleotides) under uncultured bacterium. RNAcentral describes it as "partial 16S ribosomal RNA". It matches the Rfam family "Bacterial small subunit ribosomal RNA", at positions 1286 to 1500 of the family's 1533-position model. The record is from RNAcentral.
UCUCAGUUCGGAUUGGAGUCUGCAACCCGACUCCAUGAAGCUGGAUUCGCUAGUAAUCGCGCAUCAGCCACGGCGCGGUGAAUACGUUCCCGGGCCUUGUACACACCGCCCGUCAAGCCAUGGGAGCCGGGGGUACCUGAAGUGCGUGACCGCAAGGAGCGCCCUAAGGUAAAACUGGUGACUGGGGCUAAGUCGUAACAAGGUAAC